GAUGAACGCUAGCGGCAGGCUUAACACAUGCAAGUCGAGGGGCAGCACGGGUAGCAAUACCUGGUGGCGACCGGCGCAAGGGUGCGUAACGCGUGAGCAACAUGCCCUAUACAGGGGGAUAAUCCAGGGAAACUUGGUCUAAUAUCCCAUAGUAUUUAGAGGAGGCAUCUUCUAUAAAUUAAAGCUUCGGUGGUAUAGGAUUGGCUCGCGUGACAUUAGCUAGAUGGUGAGGUAACGGCUCACCAUGGCAAUGAUGUCUAGGGGUUCUGAGAGGAAGGCCCCCCACACUGGGACUGAGACACGGCCCAGACUCCUACGGGAGGCAGCAGUGAGGAAUAUUGGACAAUGGAUGGAAAUCUGAUCCAGCCAUGCCGCGUGCAGGAAGACAGCCCUAAUGGGUUGUAAACUGCUUUUAUAUGGGAGCAAUAAGGUCUACGUGUAGACUGAUGAGAGUACCAUAUGAAUAAGC
RNAcentral lists this ribosomal RNA (469 nucleotides) under uncultured bacterium. Its description in RNAcentral is "bacterial SSU rRNA". It matches the Rfam family "Bacterial small subunit ribosomal RNA", at positions 28 to 491 of the family's 1533-position model. The record is from RNAcentral.